Molecule: ribosomal RNA, 253 nt
Filed under: uncultured bacterium
Lineage: Bacteria
Description: partial 16S ribosomal RNA
Rfam family: Bacterial small subunit ribosomal RNA
Source: RNAcentral
UACAGAGGUCCCAAGCGUUGUUCGGAUUCACUGGGCGUAAAGGGUGCGUAGGUGGUUAGGUAAGUCCGGUGUGAAAUCUCCAGGCUCAACCUGGAAAUGGCAUUGGAUACUAUUUAGCUUGAGGAGUGGAGGGGGGACUGGAAUUCUCGGUGUAGCAGUGAAAUGCGUAGAUAUCGAGAGGAACACCAGUGGCGAAGGCGAGUCCCUGGACAGUUCCUGACACUGAGGCACGAAAGCUAGGGGAGCAAACAGG